GGUCCGUUGGUUAAGAAUUCGUCUUUUCAUAGCGGUAACACGGGUUCGAAUUCCGUACGGACUA
RNAcentral lists this transfer RNA (64 nucleotides) under Streptococcus mitis. RNAcentral's name for it is "tRNA-Glu". Lineage: Bacteria; Bacillati; Bacillota; Bacilli; Lactobacillales; Streptococcaceae. The record is from RNAcentral.